AGCUUAGUCAGUAAAGUAUUUGUCUUACAAACAAGAAGUCUUGGGUUCAAGACCCAG
RNAcentral lists this transfer RNA (57 nucleotides) under Mus musculus (house mouse). It matches the Rfam family "tRNA", at positions 9 to 63 of the family's 71-position model. Rfam says of the family: Transfer RNA (tRNA) molecules are approximately 80 nucleotides in length. Their secondary structure includes four short double-helical elements and three loops (D, anti-codon, and T loops). Lineage: Eukaryota; Metazoa; Chordata; Mammalia; Rodentia; Muridae. The record is from Rfam by way of RNAcentral.